GAAAUGCGAUAAGUAAUGUGAAUUGCAGAAUUCAGUGAAUCAUCGAAUCUUUGAACGCACCUUGCGCUCCUUGGUAAUCCGAGGAGCAUGCCUGUUUGAGUGUCAUGAAAUUAUCAGAUUCCUACCAGCUUGCUGGUGUGAAUUUGGAUGUAUGGGGGGAUUUGCUGAGUCAUUUCAUUGUUCAGCUCCUCUGAAAUGUAUAUUAGCAAAAGAAAGAGAACUUCAUGCUGAUUUUGUUGGUGUUAUAAUAACUGUUUCAACAACUAAUGUCAGAAGGGGUGAUCUUGAGUCCUUAGGGACAAUUAUAAUUCUUUUUUGACCUCAAAUCAGGUAGGACUACCCGCUGAACUUAA
This 353-nucleotide ribosomal RNA is filed under the name Entoloma aff. cyanoniger 185-8. RNAcentral's name for it is "eukaryotic LSU rRNA". The stretch from base 1 to 105 matches the Rfam family "5.8S ribosomal RNA", at positions 50 to 154 of the family's 154-position model. The record is from RNAcentral. Lineage: Eukaryota; Fungi; Basidiomycota; Agaricomycetes; Agaricales; Entolomataceae.